CCUACGGGGGGCAGCAGUCGAGAAUCUUCGGCAAUGGGCGCAAGCCUGACCGAGCGACGCCGCGUGUGGGAUGAAGGCCUUCGGGUUGUAAACCCCUGUUAGAGGGGAUGAAAUGCAGGUGGGUUCUCCCAUCUGUUUGACAUAGCCUCAGAGGAAGGACGGGCUAAGUUCGUGCCAGCAGCCGCGGUAAGACGAACCGUCCAAACGUUAUUCGGAAUCACUGGGCUUAGCGGGUGGGUAAGUGGGGCGUGAAAUACCUCGGCUCAACCGAGGAACUGCGCCCAAAACUGCCGUGCUCGAGGAAGAUAGAGGUGAGCGGAACUUAGGGUGGAGCGGUGAAAUGCGUUGAUAUCCUAAGGAACACCGGUGGCGAAAGCGGCUCACUGGAUCUUUUCUGACGCUGAGGCACGAAAGCUAGGGUAGCGAACGGGAUUAGAUACCCCAGUAGUC
RNAcentral lists this ribosomal RNA (450 nucleotides) under uncultured bacterium. Its description in RNAcentral is "partial 16S ribosomal RNA". It matches the Rfam family "Bacterial small subunit ribosomal RNA", at positions 338 to 795 of the family's 1533-position model. The record is from RNAcentral.